RNAcentral lists this unclassified non-coding RNA (259 nucleotides) under Hevea brasiliensis (rubber tree). The record is from RNAcentral. Lineage: Eukaryota; Viridiplantae; Streptophyta; Magnoliopsida; Malpighiales; Euphorbiaceae.
GUUUUUUCCUGUAGAAUACCGUCAGGAAGUUCACCAUCCAAACCAAAGCCCUCUUCAGAGUCUACGGUUAAAUACAUAUCGACCAACAACAGUUCACCAUUGCAUUCCAUCAAAAUCUUCUUGUCGCCACCAAAUACAGGUUCAGCAAUCAACGUGACCUUAUCUUGAGAUCCCACCAGGAAGGUAGCCCCAGAAUUAUCAACAGCAUAAAACUCCCCCUUAAACAAUAUAACAUCAUCAUAAGGCAAGGCAGUGUGAG